GACGAACGCUGGCGGCGUGCCUAAUACAAGCAAGUAGAACGCUGAAGGAGGAGCUUGCUUCUCUGGAUGAGUUGCGAACGGGUGAGUAACGCGUAGGUAACCUGCCUGGUAGCGGGGGAUAACUAUUGGAAACGAUAGCUAAUACCGCAUAAGAGUAGAUGUUGCAUGACAUUUACUUAAAAGGUGCAAUUGCAUCACUACCAGAUGGACCUGCGUUGUAUUAGCCAGUUGGUGAGGUAACGGCUCACCAAGGCAACGAUACAUAGCCGACCUGAGAGGGUGAUCGGCCACACUGGGACUGAGACACGGCCCAGACUCCUACGGGAGGCAGCAGUAGGGAAUCUUCGGCAAUGGACGGAAGUCUGACCGAGCAACGCCGCGUGAGUGAAGAAGGUUUUCGGAUCGUAAAGCUCUGUUGUAAGAGAAGAACGAGUGUGAGAGUGGAAAGUUCACACUGUGACGGUAUCUUACCAGAAAGGGACGGCUAACUACGUG
RNAcentral lists this ribosomal RNA (495 nucleotides) under uncultured bacterium. RNAcentral describes it as "partial 16S ribosomal RNA". It matches the Rfam family "Bacterial small subunit ribosomal RNA", at positions 28 to 507 of the family's 1533-position model. The record is from RNAcentral.